This 80-nucleotide microRNA precursor is filed under the name Ovis aries (sheep). RNAcentral's name for it is "miRNA (ENSOARG00000023802.1)". The record is from RNAcentral. Lineage: Eukaryota; Metazoa; Chordata; Mammalia; Artiodactyla; Bovidae.
UGGGGUGGCCAAAACAUUUGUUUGGAUUUUUCCGUAAGAGAGUAACCCAAAAACCUGAACAAGCUUUUUGGCCAGCCCAG